GACGGAGGAUGCAAGUCUUAUCCGGAAUCACUGGGCGUAAAGCGUCUGUAGGUGGUUUAAUAAGUCAACUGUUAAAUCUUGAAGCUCAACUUCAAAAUCGGAGUCGAAACUAUUAGACUAGAGUAUAGCUGGGGUAAAGGGAAUUUCCAGUGUAGCGGUGAAAUGCGUAGAGAUUGGAAAGAACACCGAUGGCGAAGGCACUUUUCUGGGCUAUUACUGACACUCAGAGACGAAAGCUAGGGUAGCAAAUGGG
RNAcentral lists this ribosomal RNA (253 nucleotides) under uncultured bacterium. RNAcentral describes it as "partial 16S ribosomal RNA". It matches the Rfam family "Bacterial small subunit ribosomal RNA", at positions 524 to 776 of the family's 1533-position model. The record is from RNAcentral.